GAUGAACGCUGGCGGCGUGCCUAAUACAUGCAAGUCGAGCGAACAGACGAGGAGCUUGCUCCUCUGACGUUAGCGGCGGACGGGUGAGUAACACGUGGAUAACCUACCUAUAAGACUGGGAUAACUUCGGGAAACCGGAGCUAAUACCGGAUAAUAUAUUGAACCGCAUGGUUCAAUAGUGAAAGACGGUUUUGCUGUCACUUAUAGAUGGAUCCGCGCCGCAUUAGCUAGUUGGUAAGGUAACGGCUUACCAAGGCAACGAUGCGUAGCCGACCUGAGAGGGUGAUCGGCCACACUGGGACUGAGACACGGUCCAGACUCCUACGGGAGGCAGCAGUAGGGAAUCUUCCGCAAUGGGCGAAAGCCUGACGGAGCAACGCCGCGUGAGUGAUGAAGGUCUUCGGAUCGUAAAACUCUGUUAUUAGGGAAGAACAAAUGUGUAAGUAACUAUGCACGUCUUGACGGCACCUAAUCAGAAAGCCACGGCUAACUACGUG
RNAcentral lists this ribosomal RNA (497 nucleotides) under uncultured bacterium. RNAcentral describes it as "partial 16S ribosomal RNA". It matches the Rfam family "Bacterial small subunit ribosomal RNA", at positions 28 to 507 of the family's 1533-position model. The record is from RNAcentral.